GUGGGGAAUCUUGCGCAAUGGGCGAAAGCCUGACGCAGCAACGCCGCGUGGGGGAUGAAGGCUCUCGGGUUGUAAACCCCUUUCAGCAGGGACGAAUCAAGACGGUACCUGCAGAAGAAGCCCCGGCUAACUACGUGCCAGCAGCCGCGGUAACACGUAGGGGGCAAGCGUUGUCCGGAUUUAUUGGGCGUAAAGAGCUCGUAGGUGGCUGAGUAAGUCGGAUGUUAAAUCCCCAGGCUCAACCUGGGACACCACCCGAUACUGCUCUGGCUAGAGUCCGGUAGGGGAGCGUGGAAUUCCUGGUGUAGCGGUGAAAUGCGCAGAUAUCAGGAGGAACACCAGCGGCGAAGGCGGCGCUCUGGGCCGGUACUGACACUGAGGAGCGAAAGCGUGGGUAGCAAACAGGAUUAGAUACCCUAGUAGUCC
RNAcentral lists this ribosomal RNA (426 nucleotides) under uncultured bacterium. Its description in RNAcentral is "bacterial SSU rRNA". It matches the Rfam family "Bacterial small subunit ribosomal RNA", at positions 354 to 796 of the family's 1533-position model. The record is from RNAcentral.